CCUGUUUUUUUUAGGAGUUUGAUCCUGGCUCAGGAUGAACGCUGGCGGCGUGCCUAAUACAUGCAAGUCGAGCGAACUGAUUAGAAGCUUGCUUCUAUGACGUUAGCGGCGGACGGGUGAGUAACACGUGGGCAACCUGCCUGUAAGACUGGGAUAACUUCGGGAAACCGAAGCUAAUACCGGAUAGGAUCUUCUCCUUCAUGGGAGAUGAUUGAAAGAUGGUUUCGGCUAUCACUUACAGAUGGGCCCGCGGUGCAUUAGCUAGUUGGUGAGGUAACGGCUCACCAAGGCAACGAUGCAUAGCCGACCUGAGAGGGUGAUCGGCCACACUGGGACUGAGACACGGCCCAGACUCCUACGGGAGGCAGCAGUAGGGAAUCUUCCGCAAUGGACGAAAGUCUGACGGAGCAACGCCGCGUGAGUGAUGAAGGCUUUCGGGUCGUAAAACUCUGUUGUUAGGGAAGAACAAGUACGAGAGUAACUGCUCGUACCUUGACGGUACCUAACCAGAAAGCCACGGCUAACUACGUGCCAGCAGCCGCGGUAAUACGUAGGUGGCAAGCGUUAUCCGGAAUUAUUGGGCGUAAAGCGCGCGCAGGCGGUUUCUUAAGUCUGAUGUGAAAGCCCACGGCUCAACCGUGGAGGGUCAUUGGAAACUGGGGAACUUGAGUGCAGAAGAGAAAAGCGGAAUUCCACGUGUAGCGGUGAAAUGCGUAGAGAUGUGGAGGAACACCAGUGGCGAAGGCGGCUUUUGGUCUGUAACUGACGCUAAGCGCGAAAAGAUUUUUC
RNAcentral lists this ribosomal RNA (789 nucleotides) under Priestia megaterium. RNAcentral's name for it is "bacterial SSU rRNA". It matches the Rfam family "Bacterial small subunit ribosomal RNA", at positions 1 to 767 of the family's 1533-position model. The record is from RNAcentral. Lineage: Bacteria; Bacillati; Bacillota; Bacilli; Caryophanales; Bacillaceae.